This 510-nucleotide ribosomal RNA is filed under the name uncultured bacterium. Its description in RNAcentral is "partial 16S ribosomal RNA". It matches the Rfam family "Bacterial small subunit ribosomal RNA", at positions 28 to 507 of the family's 1533-position model. The record is from RNAcentral.
GACGAACGCUGGCGGCGUGCUUAACACAUGCAAGUCGAACGAAGAGCGAUGGAAGCUUGCUUCUAUCAAUCUUAGUGGCGAACGGGUGAGUAACGCGUAAUCAACCUGCCCUUCAGAGGGGGACCACAGUUGGAAACGACUUCUAAUACCGCAUACGAUCUAAUCUCGGCAUCGAGGAUAGAUGAAAGGUGGCCUCUACAUGUAAGCUAUCACUGAAGGAGGGGAUUGCGUCUGAUUAGCUAGUUGGAGGGGUAAGGGCCCACCAAGGCGAUGAUCAGUAGCCGGUCUGAGAGGAUGGACGGCCACAUUGGGACUGAGACACGGCCCAGACUCCUACGGGAGGCAGCAGUGGGGAAUCUUCCGCAAUGGACGAAAGUCUGACGGGGCAACGCCGCGUGAGUGAUGACGGCCUUCGGGUUGGAAAGCUCUGUUAAUCGGGACGAAAGGCCUUCUUGCGAAUAGUGAGAAGGAUUGACGGUACCGGAAUAGAAAGCCACGGCUAACUACGUG